CAUCCGAUAUUCAAAUCGCUUAAAUUUCUCAUAUUCCUCAG
Molecule: non-coding RNA, 41 nt
Filed under: Plasmodium falciparum 3D7
Lineage: Eukaryota; Apicomplexa; Aconoidasida; Haemosporida; Plasmodiidae
Source: RNAcentral